UUUAGGGGCGGAAUUGGAAUUUUUAGCGGGCCGCGAAAUUCGCCCCUUCCCCGCUUGAACGUAAGCUUAUCAAUAAAGCGGAGGGAAAAGAAACUAACAAGGAUUCCCCUAGUAACUGCGAGUGAAGCGGGAAAAGCUCAAAUUUAAAAUCUGGCGGUCCCUGUGGCCGUCCGAGUUGUAAUUUAGAGAAGUGUUAUCCGCGUUGGACCGUGUACUAUUCUCCUGGAAUGGAGCGUCAUAGAGGGUGAGAAUCCCGUCUUUGACACGGACCGCCAAGGCAUUGUGAUACGCUCUCAAAGAGUCGAGUUGUUUGGGAAUGCAGCUCAAAAUGGGUGGUAAAUUCCAUCUAAAGCUAAAUAUUGGGGAGAGACCGAUAGCGAACAAGUCGCGUGAGGGAAAGAUGAAAAGUACUUUGGAAAGAGAAUUAAACAGUACGUGAAAUUGCUGAAAGGGAAACGCUUGAAGUCAGUCGCGUCGAUCAGGACUCAGCAUUUUUAUAAGAACGUGGACGGGAUGCUCACUCUCUAUGCUGCCCUGUUGGAAGGAGACUUGUCCGCCAUGCUUUCAUUGAGACCUUUUCCUCUGACUACAACUCGGAUUUGCAGAGCAACCCAGAUUUUUAAUGUGAGCUCUCUCCCGCUUCACGUGACCGAUACUAGAGGAAUUCAUAUUAGUUUCUCUUCCUAGCUUAAAGACACGCUUAAGUUCAGCGGG
Molecule: ribosomal RNA, 714 nt
Filed under: uncultured fungus
Lineage: Eukaryota; Fungi
Description: eukaryotic LSU rRNA
Rfam family: Eukaryotic large subunit ribosomal RNA
Source: RNAcentral